UACGUAGGGGGCAAGCGUUAUCCGGAUUUACUGGGUGUAAAGGGAGCGUAGACGGUUGUAUAAGUCUGGAGUGAAAGCCCGGGGCCCAACCCCGGGACUGCUUUGGAAACUGUGUAACUUGAGUACAGGAGGGGCAGGCGGAAUUCCUGGUGUAGCGGUGAAAUGCGUAGAUAUCACACAGAACACCGAUUGCGAAGGCAUCUCACGAAUCCGCUAUUGACGCUGAUGCACGAAAGCGUGGGUAUCAAACAGG
RNAcentral lists this ribosomal RNA (253 nucleotides) under uncultured Eubacteriales bacterium. RNAcentral describes it as "uncultured Clostridiales bacterium partial 16S ribosomal RNA". It matches the Rfam family "Bacterial small subunit ribosomal RNA", at positions 524 to 776 of the family's 1533-position model. Lineage: Bacteria; Bacillati; Bacillota; Clostridia; Eubacteriales. The record is from RNAcentral.